UUUCAGCAAAUCCCUCUAAGGAUAAGAUGUUGAUGACCUUGUAAACUCGAGUAAUAGAAAUGGGAUGAAAUUUAAUCGUGGAAAGUGCAAGGUGAUGCAUUUAGGGACUAAGAACAAGAGACUUUGCUAUAAGUGGGGCAUUUACCAGUUGGAAGCAACGAAAGAGGAGAAAGAC
This is a long non-coding RNA of Chelonia mydas (Green sea turtle), 175 nucleotides long. RefSeq lists it as uncharacterized. The transcript has 4 exons. NCBI's taxonomy places the organism in Eukaryota, Metazoa, Chordata, Testudines, Cheloniidae. The record is from RefSeq and is a predicted model, not a curated record.